This 240-nucleotide unclassified non-coding RNA is filed under the name soil metagenome. RNAcentral describes it as "partial contains 5.8S ribosomal RNA, internal transcribed spacer 2, and large subunit ribosomal RNA". The record is from RNAcentral.
AACCUUAUGGACCUGCGGGCGUAUACCUGCGGAGGGAUCAUUACACAAUAACAUAUGAAGGCUGUACGCGGCUGCGCCCUCGGGCCAGUUGGCUGAGGCUGGAGUAUUUAUUACCCUUGUCUUUUGCGCACUUGUUGUUUCCUGGGCGGGUUCGCCCGCCACCAGGACCACAUGAUAAACCUUUUUUUAUGCAGUUGCAAUCAGCGUCAGUACAACAAAUGUAAAUCAUUUACAACUUUU